AACGAACGCUGGCGGCAUGCCUAACACAUGCAAGUCGAACGAAACGUCCGGCUUUCGUUUCUGACGUGUGCGUAACGGGGGGGAACCUGGCCGUAGAAUCCGAAUAACUCCUCCAAAGGGGUUGGGAAACCGGAUAAGGUCCUCGGACCAAUGAUUUAUCGCCCUUGAGGGGGCCGGCGGUGGAUUAGCUAGUUGGUAGGGUAAAGGCGGACCAAGGCGAGGACCCAUAGCUGGUCUGAGGGGAUGAUCAGCCACACGGGGACUGAGACACGGCACCGGUUGGUAAGGGAGGACGCAGUGGGGAAUAUUGGACCAGCGGCGCCAGGCUGAUCCAGCCAUGCUGCGUGAGUGAUGAAGGUUUUAGGGUUGUAAAGCUCUUCUAGCCGGGAUGAUAAUGACGGUACCGGGAGAAUAAGCACCGGCUAACUACGUG
RNAcentral lists this ribosomal RNA (433 nucleotides) under uncultured bacterium. RNAcentral describes it as "partial 16S ribosomal RNA". It matches the Rfam family "Bacterial small subunit ribosomal RNA", at positions 29 to 507 of the family's 1533-position model. The record is from RNAcentral.